Molecule: ribosomal RNA, 253 nt
Filed under: uncultured bacterium
Lineage: Bacteria
Description: partial 16S ribosomal RNA
Rfam family: Bacterial small subunit ribosomal RNA
Source: RNAcentral
UACGUAGGGGGCAAGCGUUGUCCGGAUUUAUUGGGCGUAAAGAGCGUGUAGGCGGCCAGACAGGUCAGCUGUGAAAACUCGAGGCUCAACCUCGAGACGUCGGUUGAAACCGUCUGGCUAGGGUCCGGAAGAGGAGAGUGGAAUUCCCGGUGUAGCGGUGAAAUGCGCAGAUAUCGGGUGGAACGCCAGUGGCGAAGGCGACUUCCUGGCCUGUUCUUGACGCUGAGGCGCGAAAGCUAGGGGAGCAAACGGG